GUGUACGGCCAUGCUACCCUGAACAAGCCCGAUCCCGUCUAAUCUUGGAAGCUGAGCCGGGUCGGGCCUGGUUAUUACUUGGAUGGGAGACCAGGAAGACCAGGUGCUAUAGGCA
Molecule: ribosomal RNA, 115 nt
Filed under: Pteropus alecto (black flying fox)
Lineage: Eukaryota; Metazoa; Chordata; Mammalia; Chiroptera; Pteropodidae
Source: RNAcentral